AUUGAACGCUGGCGGCAUGCCUUACACAUGCAAGUCGAACGGCGGCACGGGAGCUUGCUCCUGGUGGCGAGUGGCGAACGGGUGAGUAAUGCAUCGGAACGUGCCCUGAAGUGGGGGAUAACGUAGCGAAAGUUACGCUAAUACCGCAUAUUCUGUGAGCAGGAAAGCAGGGGAUCUUCGGACCUUGCGCUUUUGGAGCGGCCGAUGUCGGAUUAGCUAGUUGGUGGGGUAAAGGCCCACCAAGGCGACGAUCCGUAGCGGGUCUGAGAGGAUGAUCCGCCACACUGGAACUGAGACACGGUCCAGACUCCUACGGGAGGCAGCAGUGGGGAAUUUUGGACAAUGGGCGCAAGCCUGAUCCAGCCAUGCCGCGUGAGUGAAGAAGGCCUUCGGGUUGUUAAAGGACGUCUUUCCGGUUGGGGGUAAGGAAAAAGUUUAGGC
RNAcentral lists this ribosomal RNA (441 nucleotides) under uncultured bacterium. RNAcentral describes it as "bacterial SSU rRNA". It matches the Rfam family "Bacterial small subunit ribosomal RNA", at positions 30 to 497 of the family's 1533-position model. The record is from RNAcentral.